GUAGAACUGAAAUGAAGCAAGUUUAAAACCAUGCGGAUCAAUGCCCAAAUGGAGGAAAAGAAAAGAAAGAUCUGGUGUGGAUCCUAAUCUGACGUGACUGCAUAAAUCAAGAGCAGUGUUAUGGAUGACUGGAGACUCACACUGGAAUAAUAGCAACAGAACUCCAACAGCAAUUUCUGAGCUCCAGUACGGCAGGAAUAUCAAGGAGAG
Lagopus leucura (white-tailed ptarmigan) is the source of this 210-nucleotide long non-coding RNA. RefSeq lists it as uncharacterized. The record is from RefSeq and is a predicted model, not a curated record. NCBI's taxonomy places the organism in Eukaryota, Metazoa, Chordata, Aves, Galliformes, Phasianidae. The transcript has 3 exons.